AAUAAAGCAACAGAGAAGAUGGCCCCAGUCACAUACAGAGCCAGCCAGAACAGUGGCAGAGUGCCCUUUUCUAUUGAGAGACCAUCACAGAACUGCUUGCUCCCUUGUGGAAGAGAGUAAUGGUCCAGGUUGAUUGAUCCACAGUUAAAUCUUACCAGUCUAUAGAUCACCCUGAGCUCUGCCAUAAACCCUGGCUGGCACAUGAAGAUGCAGAAAAUGGUCCAAGCCAUUCAAGAAUGACUGACUGUUUUCAGCCUGAGGACCAACCUUUCCUGCACUUCAACUCAACACUCUUCACUGUUAGAUGGGAUGGAUUUUGCUGUGGAGCAUCUGGACCAAGCCCAAGCUGGCUCUGGAUCUCCUACUCUUAAAAGAGGUAUAGAAGUUGAUUCUGGAAGUACCUGGGACAACAUUCCAAAUAGCCUUCGUGGACCAGUUUAAAUUUGUAGAGAUGCCAGAAUCAUCCUACUGAUUUUUCUUCUUUCCUAUUCCAAUUCCACCUCAUGCCCAGGUUUCU
This is a long non-coding RNA of Fukomys damarensis (Damara mole-rat), 517 nucleotides long. RefSeq lists it as uncharacterized. The record is from RefSeq and is a predicted model, not a curated record. NCBI's taxonomy places the organism in Eukaryota, Metazoa, Chordata, Mammalia, Rodentia, Bathyergidae. The transcript has 3 exons.